AUUUAACAGGUAAGACCUUCUACAGGAAGAUAGUGGAGAAAAAUUUCUCUAUCAGCUGAGACAGCCUGGCAGGAUGAUGUGACCAGAAGGCAGAGAAGCAGGGUGCAUUAGUUACCAUGUCCAUGAUUGCUUGGAUCCUGGACUCCAUCUCUGUGCUGCUCCACCUUGUUCAACUUACUGCUGAGGGACUAACCGGAAGCUUUGGCCCUGAUGUACCUGUGCAUCUUACCCGAGAAAAGGAUCCUGAUACACGCUUCUUUUGAACUACAGAUGCAGAAAAGUUAAAUAUCCUCAAAUCUAACCACUGGGCUCUGGCAACUGUCUCUACAUGCAAAUAUCUGUCUGUAUUAGAACCUACACUCAGGAGAGUUUUAGCUCCUGGGACUAUUGACUUCAUCUCUUUCAUUAGAACAUCUGGCAUCACCAUGUCACUCUCAUGAGAAAAGACAGGGAUGGCAGGCUGUGCAAAAUUUCUCUCUGAUGCCUGUGGUAUUAUUUCUCUUAGCCUCUCAGCAGGAGUCAGAGAAGUUGUGGCAGAUAUUCUAGGAAAUAUGGUUAAGGCUGGCUUUUUUUCUCUCCAUGA
This is a long non-coding RNA of Hyaena hyaena (striped hyena), 583 nucleotides long. RefSeq lists it as uncharacterized. Lineage: Eukaryota; Metazoa; Chordata; Mammalia; Carnivora; Hyaenidae. The record is from RefSeq and is a predicted model, not a curated record. The transcript has 3 exons.